UUGGUGCAUGACUGUAGAACUUUAAGCAAUGAUGAAAAUGCUCUAUAUCCACACUAUCCAAUAUGGUAACCACUAGCCACUUGUGACUACUGAGUGUCUGAAAGGUUCUGCUUGAAUUCUUGCCCUGGCUCUUGGUGAAGGAUCGGCCUGCUGGAUCUGAGUCAUCCACCUAUAAGAGGGACAACACCACACAUUGGUCGCUGCUCUCAAGCCCCUGGAAUACCACCCCACUUGGCUUCUCCUGGUAACAGUGGCUGCCUUUGCUUGCCUGUCUCCAACUCCUCCCAAGAGCAUUGCUGACUAUACCACCCACAUAAACAAAAACUUUUUGGGAGUCCUCCAGAAUUUUUAAGAGUUAUCUAAACUAUUGCCUUUAAUGACCAGGAACUCCAAUUUGAGAAGUUACCCUACGUUAAGCCAACAGCAGCCUGGCUCCUUCAUCCUGUGCAGUAUGGGACAGAGCUGGGUCCUUGUUGUCAUCAGCCAGACAAGCACACAUUAAAGCCCACCUUAGCCAUUGGCAUUACAGCUUUAAAAGCAGCUCCAUCCUACCAUGCUGUCACUCUACUCAAUCACGUGAUCUUAACGACCAGCUCUACAUAUCCUCUCUCCAUGCCCCCACCACCAUCCCCCACCAAC
This 639-nucleotide long non-coding RNA is filed under the name Homo sapiens (human). RNAcentral's name for it is "long independently transcribed non-coding RNA 2020, transcript variant 2 (LINC02020)". The record is from RNAcentral. Lineage: Eukaryota; Metazoa; Chordata; Mammalia; Primates; Hominidae.